This 80-nucleotide transfer RNA is filed under the name Histophilus somni 129PT. RNAcentral's name for it is "tRNA-Ile". It matches the Rfam family "tRNA". Rfam says of the family: Transfer RNA (tRNA) molecules are approximately 80 nucleotides in length. The record is from RNAcentral. Lineage: Bacteria; Pseudomonadati; Pseudomonadota; Gammaproteobacteria; Pasteurellales; Pasteurellaceae. RNAcentral also lists the same sequence under 1 other name.
GGGUCUGUAGCUCAGGUGGUUAGAGCGCACCCCUGAUAAGGGUGAGGUCGGUGGUUCAAGUCCACUCAGACCCACCACUC